RNAcentral lists this ribosomal RNA (497 nucleotides) under uncultured bacterium. RNAcentral's name for it is "partial 16S ribosomal RNA". It matches the Rfam family "Bacterial small subunit ribosomal RNA", at positions 28 to 507 of the family's 1533-position model. The record is from RNAcentral.
GAUGAACGCUGGCGGCGUGCCUAAUACAUGCAAGUCGAGCGAACGGACGAUAAGCUUGCUUCUCUGAUGUUAGCGGCGGACGGGUGAGUAACACGUGGAUAACCUACCUAUAAGACUGGGAUAACUUCGUGAAACCGUAGCUAAUACCGGAUAAUAUUUUGAACCGCAUGGUUCAAAAGUGAAAGACGGUCUUGCUGUCACUUAUAGAUGGAUCCGCGCUGCAUUAGCUAGUUGGUAAGGUAACGGCUUACCAAGGCAACGAUGCAUAGCCGACCUGAGAGGAUGAUCGGCCACACUGGAACUGAGACACGGUCCAGACUCCUACGGGAGGCAGCAGUAGGGAAUAUUCGGCAAUGGGCGAAAGCCUGACGGAGCAACGCCGCGUGAGUGAUGAAGGUCUUCGGAUCGUAAAACUCUGUUAUUAGGGAAGAACAUAUGUGUAAGUAACUGUGCACAUCUUGACGGUACCUAAUCAGAAAGCCACGGCUAACUACGUG